This 499-nucleotide ribosomal RNA is filed under the name uncultured bacterium. RNAcentral describes it as "bacterial SSU rRNA". It matches the Rfam family "Bacterial small subunit ribosomal RNA", at positions 28 to 507 of the family's 1533-position model. The record is from RNAcentral.
GGCUAACGCUGGCGGCGUGUCUUAGCCAUGCAAGUCGAGCGGACUUAUGGGGUAACUUAUAAGUCAGCGGCGGACGGCGGAGUAACACGUAGCUAACCUACCCUCUGGACGGGGAUAACCUACCGAAAGGUGGGCUAAUACCCGAUGUAGUCAUCCUGUAUAGGGGUGAUGAAAGGUGGGCUUCUGUUUACAAGCUCAUGCUGGAGGAGGGGGCUGCGGCCUAUCAGGUAGUUGGUAGGGUAAUAGCCUACCAAGCCGAUGACGGGUAGCCGGCCUGAGAGGGUGACCGGCCCGAGGGGCACUGAGAUACGGGUCCCACUCCUACGGGAGGCAGCAGGCUAGAAAUUUGGGCAAUGGGGGAAACCCUGACCCAGUGACGCCGCGUGCAGGAAGGAGCCCUUCGGGGUGUAAACUGCUGUCGUGUAGGGAGAAGGGUACUAAGGUGAACAAUCCUUAGUACUUGACGGUACUACAGGAGGAAGCCCAGGCUAACCUCGUG